UAGAUACCCUGGUAGUCCACGCCCUAAACGAUGCACACUAGUUGUUGCUAUGCUAGACAUAGCAGUAAUGCAGUUAACACAGUAAGUGUGCCGCCUGGGGAGUACGGUCGCAAGAUUAAAACUCAAAGGAAUAGACGGGGACCCGCACAAGCGGUGGAGCAUGUGGUUUAAUUCGACGAUACGCGAAGAACCUUACCUGGCCUUGACAUAAGAAGAACUUUCCAGAGACGGAUUGGUGCUAGUUUACUAGAACUUCUAUACAGGUGCUGCACGGCUGUCGUCAGCUCGUGUCGUGAGAUGUUGGGUUAAGUCCCGCAACGAGCGCAACCCUCGUGUUUAGUUACUAACAGUUCGGCUGAGGACUCUAAACAGACUGCCUGGGUAACCAGGAGGAAGGUGAGGACGACGUCAAGUCAUCAUGGCCCUUACGGCCAGGGCUACACACGUGCUACAAUGGGGUAUACAAAGAGCUGCAAUACGGUGACGUGGAGCAAAUCUCAUAAAAUAUCUCCCAGUUCGGAUUGAAGUCUGCAACUCGACUUCAUGGAGUUGGAAUCGCUAGUAAUCGUAGAUCAGCAAUGCUACGGUGAAUACGUUCCCGGGUCUUGUACUCACCGCCCGUCACACCAUGGGAAUUGAAUUCAUUCGAAGCGGGGAUGCUAAAAUAGCUACCUUCCACAGUGGAUUUAGUAACUAGGGUGAAGUCGUAACAAGGUA
RNAcentral lists this ribosomal RNA (717 nucleotides) under uncultured bacterium. RNAcentral's name for it is "bacterial SSU rRNA". It matches the Rfam family "Bacterial small subunit ribosomal RNA", at positions 779 to 1498 of the family's 1533-position model. The record is from RNAcentral.